RNAcentral lists this transfer RNA (74 nucleotides) under Trichobilharzia regenti. It matches the Rfam family "tRNA". Rfam says of the family: Transfer RNA (tRNA) molecules are approximately 80 nucleotides in length. Their secondary structure includes four short double-helical elements and three loops (D, anti-codon, and T loops). Further hydrogen bonds mediate the characteristic L-shaped molecular structure. tRNAs have two regions of fundamental functional importance: the anti-codon, which is responsible for specific mRNA codon recognition, and the 3' end, to which the tRNAs corresponding amino acid is attached (by aminoacyl-tRNA synthetases). tRNAs cope with the degeneracy of the genetic code in two manners: having more than one tRNA (with a specific anti-codon) for a particular amino acid; and 'wobble' base-pairing, i.e. permitting non-standard base-pairing at the 3rd anti-codon position. Lineage: Eukaryota; Metazoa; Platyhelminthes; Trematoda; Strigeidida; Schistosomatidae. The record is from Rfam by way of RNAcentral.
GGCUGCGUGGCUCAGUCGGUUAGAGCGUCGUGUUAAUAACGUGAAUGUCGAGGGUUUGCUCCCCUACGGGGCCA